UUCGAGUUGGUCGUUUGACACUCAACGCGUUUGGUGAUCGUCAUUAGAAGCAUCUUGUCCGUCCAGUCAUCCCACCUCAACAUCCAACCCACCUAGACUGUCCGAUCGCUUUUUUUGGUAACCAACCCACCCCCCGCUUGACAAAGAAAAUCGGAACAAUAUCCCAACCUUCCUAUACAGCCCGAUCUGAAAUAAUUUGGCGUGAUUUCCGGAUGCAAAUAAUCCCACUUACUCCCCUUCCUUGUGUUUCCCACUUUCCCUACGCAAAGAAAGAUAAUGGUGAGACAGAGGCGCACGGCGACGAGCGACGAGAGCAGCUCGGGCAAUGCGGCGUCUUGCUUCCGAUCUAUGACUGGAGGAAGAGAUGGAGGGGGAUAGUAGUUGCUCGGCCAUGGGGACGGGUUGAAGAGAUGAAGUUAGGCUCGGUGGAGGAUGGCCAUGGUGGCAUAGACGGGUCUCUCUCUAGGCCUAGGGGUGGAAGACCCCGAGAUUACGAUCAGGCAGAGAUGACGACAUCUGCCUGGUGAACGCCAUCGGCCGGCACCGCGGCGAACGAACCGACCAUGUUGGGGCUGAACCGGUGGGGGCAGAGGAGCCGCGAUGGCCACCUUCUUCAAUUUUGAUGGAGGUGCGUCCGAUCUCGGGCCCUCAACGCUCAACAGCAUCGUCCCUAUCCUGCUCGUCGCCGCCUCUGAGAUCGAACACGAGAGCAUCGGCGCUGUCCACGGUCAUUUUGGACGAUUUUGGUCGUGGUUUUUGUACAGCUUCGUGAGAUUCCAAUCUUCGAGCUCCUGCAGUUUAUGAAUCUGGGAGGUUUGGUCGAGCGAUGCUGCCCUAUGAUGUAGUAAAUUAUCUGCAGUUUUUGGUAAUUCACAAGGUCUGCUUUUUGGGAAACUUCAUUCGGUUGGAUAUAGUUGGGCAUGUCAAUUCAUUCAUGUAAGAUUUGGCAAUUUAUCUCCAACGCAUCAUUUAGUGAGAACAUACUCUCAUUGAUGGUUUUACUCAUGAUAGAAAAAUGUAGUAAAUUAUACUGCUCCUAGGAUCGUUCUUGCAAUAUCAGUUGGUUUCAAUUGCGGAGCCACCUCUUUCAGAUCUUCCUGGUGUGACAUCAUGAAAAAUCAAAAUCAGUGUAUGUGGGAGGGGAUGCUCCUAAGUAAUGCUAAUGAAGCUAAUGAUGUUGGUGAAGAAUCUCAUCCAGAUAAUCAGGGAGAUUCAAAGUGAGUAUAAUAUCUCGAUAUCUUUAACGAAUUAAGUUAUUUUCGUGCAUCAUCUUUUAACCUACACAGAAGAUGAAGCAAGAAGAUAGGGUCCUCAGUGUGUUGAUACGAGCAAAGGAGGAAGGGGCGAUGUGUUGGAGUCGAGGGCGGUGGCAUUGGUCGAUUGUGCAUGCCAGUCGCUGCCUGGUCUGAGUGGCACCGCAGCCGCGGUAUGCAAGCACCUCAGGUGUGUCUAGGUUCCUCAACAUUUUCAUUUAUGCCUGCCUUGAUAUCUGCAUUGAUACAUAUUAUUUUUUGGUUGUGCAUAUUAUUGAAAUUAUAUUAUCAAGUCAGCGAAUUUAUCACGCGCUAUUUCAAUAAUUUCAUAUUUAGUGCUUCUGACUUAACUUUCUUAGCUAUUUGAUGCAUGUAUAAAUGGAUUUCGUUGAAUUGUUUUCCUGGUUUUUUAUAUGGUAAAUACAGUUUACCACUGAUCCUUUUCAAAUGGAUGUGUGCAAAGUUGAAGCAGUAAAUUACCAUGAUCUGUGCUUGUGCAUGAAUACAUUCAUGUGCGUGUGCAUGAAUACAGCAUUUCAUGCAUGUUAUUUGAGUUACUAUUUUUCGUUUUAUUUCUUUUCUAUCCAAUCCAAUCUGAAAUUAUAUUUAUGUGAGUGUGAUGAAGAAUGGUCUCCACUUAACAUUUGGGCUCUCAUAAUAACGAAAGGCCUCCAGGCUCGCUCCAGCCUCCAAUGAAGGAUUCACUGGCGGCGGCCAGUGCAGCAACCCCAUCGGCAAGAGUCUGCAGGAAGCCGAUUUUUUAAAUUGACUUUGGAUACCCAUUUUCAGAAUCCUAUGCCCUCCCAUGACACGCCGUCAACACCAGCUGCAUCACCAAGAUCUUCUCCAUGAGGUGACACGCUGUUGCGGCGCAUGUAAAAUUAUCAUCAUAGUUCAUGGUUAUAUCUUCACAAUGACAUAAAGCCAGACCCAGACAAUUUCCUUAUGGGCUUAGGCUGGAAAGCUAAUCAGGUCUAUAUAAUCGAUUAUGGGCUUGCUAAAAAAUACAAGGAUCUUCAUACUCAUAAACACAUACCUUGCAGCUUUAGAGGUACCAAGUCAUAAAAAAAUCAUAUGAGAUGAUAGGCUUAAACGAAGGUGAGAAUUGAAGCAGGCUUGAACGAAGGUGAGAAUUGAAGCAAUAUAUAUCCCUUCAUGAAUUUUGUACAUAUGGUUAAAUCACUAACCAGAUGUAUAAACAGAAUAUGUAUUUCCUAAGUGGAACACAUGGGCCUAUUUUUUUCUAUCAAAAAAGGUUCACUUUGGUCUAACUUCUAGAUCCAGUAUGGAAGAGAUUUCACAAAAGAUCGACCGUAUUAUGAGAGCGGACAUGGUUAGAGCGCUUAAAGUACGCCUCAAAGGGGAGUGACUCUAUGGAGUAGGAUGUGCUGAAGAUAAUAUCUACACUGGUCCUGGAUUUGUGAGUUUGACCUUGCUUCACAUGGGUAAUGAGGUGAUCACUACGACAUCAUCUACCCACGCGCUCCUUCUACCGAGAGUUCAGGCAUGCCAGGGAGAGCAUCCCACUGAUAAAGUUCAAAUCAACCGAGUAUGUUGUGUUGAAAUUGAGUUUGAUUGUUGCAUAUGAAAGAAAUCGUUUAUGAGUUUGGUUGUCGGGAUCUAGAGAUACACUGGUGUUGUAUGGGUAGGUAUAGCAUACACUUGCGCAUUCUUCUUCUGUUGGUCCAAGCUGCUGGUGUCAAUUGAUUGAUCAUAAGUUGCUCCAUUGUCUGAAGAAAAAUGUGUGCAUUUUAUUUGAA
Molecule: RNA transcript, 3013 nt
Organism: Lolium perenne
Lineage: Eukaryota; Viridiplantae; Streptophyta; Magnoliopsida; Poales; Poaceae
Source: RefSeq, a predicted model, not a curated record